AACCCCAUCUUUAUCCUGGAGCAACUCUUUGCUAAUAGAGUGGUUGCGUGUUCCCGAUGUAACUGAAUCACUGUGAUCAGCCGAAAACAAUCAACACCGGUAGCACGCUCGCACAUCUACAACGGUGGAAGACCUAUGGACUUAAUAUUUAUGGGGAGGUUCGGAUUUAGGUCUCAUCUAAUCAGUCAUCGUAUGACUGAUUUAACUGGCAUGGGCUAAAUCAGAUUGCUAAGCAACCUAAUUCAAGACCCAAUCUUCCAAAUUGGUCAGGUAAGCGGAGAAUGGUGGGGGUCCCCCCAGUUGC
Molecule: long non-coding RNA, 304 nt
Filed under: Elaeis guineensis (African oil palm)
Lineage: Eukaryota; Viridiplantae; Streptophyta; Magnoliopsida; Arecales; Arecaceae
Description: long non-coding RNA (EGUI_LNC081680)
Source: RNAcentral